AGGGAAAACUGGGUGUGGAGUAUAUGGGAACCCUGUACUAUCUUUACAAUUUUUCUGUAAAUCUAAAAUUUAAAAUUUAUUACA
This is a non-coding RNA of Ceratotherium simum simum (southern white rhinoceros), 84 nucleotides long. The record is from RefSeq and is a predicted model, not a curated record. NCBI's taxonomy places the organism in Eukaryota, Metazoa, Chordata, Mammalia, Perissodactyla, Rhinocerotidae.